RNAcentral lists this long non-coding RNA (391 nucleotides) under Mus musculus (house mouse). RNAcentral describes it as "RIKEN cDNA 1700029M03 gene, transcript variant 2 (1700029M03Rik)". Lineage: Eukaryota; Metazoa; Chordata; Mammalia; Rodentia; Muridae. The record is from RNAcentral.
AGUUAAUAAAUGACUGACUGAGGUUUGAACCCAACUCAUUUGACUUCAACACUUACAGAAUUGACUACUCAGAUAAGAGAGAGCCGUCUCUCAGGGAAAUAUGGAAAAGCAAUACUCCACAAACCUCAACGGCAAGAAGAGUUCCUCCAAAGGGAUAGUUAACUCUCCCAAAGGAUACAAAAGGCAUUUAUAAAAUGGAUGACAAACAUUGUAAGGAAUAUACUUUCCUCCAAAUGAAUAUAAAUUCUAUGAAAAUCUCCAAAGACCUUUGAAAGGAAAUGCUCCGCCCCUUUCCUCUACCAGCAAUAUCUGUUGAAGCAGUAUGAAGGGGAGAGGUGAACACUGGAUUGUUUUAGCUCUUGUCAUUAAAGAAAGCGUGUACAUUAAGGCA